UUGAAAUUAUGUCUGAUGAGCCCCCGAAUGACUACCUCGUGCUGUCGAUCCUGGCCUACUUGCUGUGUUGUCCCAUAGGCAGUGCAGCCAUGUACUACUCUUCCCAGACAAGGCGCCACAACUAUAGGAAUGAACCAGACUUGGCAGCUGAGACCUCUGAGACAACCUGCGUACUCUCAAUCAUAGCAAUUUCUUUGGGAUGCCUCGGUAUACUCAACACCUGGAUUGUGAUCAUAAUGACCAUAUUUGCUCGGUAACCUCCUCUUCAGCUCAUGAACAAACCACCAAAUAUAUACAGUAGUGUCAGUCACCUUGGCUCUAAGUAUCCAUUUGGGCCAAAUGGGACAACUGCUCCUCAAUGUCUGGACUGCCAAGUAUUGACAGCCUGAGCCAGCAACUUGAGAUCCUCCCAAUGUGGGCAUCUCCGGUGGCCCACAUACUAAGUCAAGGAUCCAGGCUCCUCCCACUUGGUGAUUCCACCAUCUUCUAAGGACUCAGAGUAUUUUGAAUUGAGGCAGAAGAUGAGAGACUGGAGAACCUCCACUACCUUCUUAAAAUUCUCUACCCAAAAGUGAACGCUUUGCACUCCUGGUGGGAAUGUAAAUUUUGACAGCCACUAAAGCAAA
Callorhinus ursinus (northern fur seal) is the source of this 626-nucleotide non-coding RNA. Lineage: Eukaryota; Metazoa; Chordata; Mammalia; Carnivora; Otariidae. The record is from RefSeq and is a predicted model, not a curated record.